This 329-nucleotide long non-coding RNA is filed under the name Malus domestica (apple). Its description in RNAcentral is "long non-coding RNA (MDOM_LNC012142)". Lineage: Eukaryota; Viridiplantae; Streptophyta; Magnoliopsida; Rosales; Rosaceae. The record is from RNAcentral.
AAUUUAAACUAAAGCUAACAUUUAUUUAAGCUAAUAAGUAGAGUGCACAGUAGUGGGAAGAACCCAUAAAAACAUAAGUAGUCAAAGUAUAGAUGACAAUACGACAUAAGUAGAGAAGUUGAAUCUAGUUAAGGUACUUAUUACAUAACCGGAAAUAAGCUCCUACAUUUAUUUAGGGAUAUGUCAGAACCACCGAAGAUUCCUUGUACGCCAUAGAGAAUUAAGCUAACUAAGUCUUGGAGGGGUGAAAACAGAAGGUAUAAGUGGGCAAAAACAAAGGUUUAUAAAACACAUUUAUUUUCUGAACAUACUAACCCCUCGCCGUAAAA